Molecule: long non-coding RNA, 2927 nt
Organism: Chenopodium quinoa (quinoa)
Lineage: Eukaryota; Viridiplantae; Streptophyta; Magnoliopsida; Caryophyllales; Amaranthaceae
Exons: 2
Source: RefSeq, a predicted model, not a curated record
UUAAGUUUUUAAUUUCGUAUUAUAUACUAAUUAUUGACUUGUUGGGUUGAUUUUGUGUUUAAUUGAGUUGUUUAUGUUAUUUAAUCUAGUCAAUUAGUGUGUAUGCUCUUUGAAAUUGUUGAUUUGCUAUUAAAUUUAUCAAAUUAGAGAGUUAGGGUUUCUGAUUUUUUUAGGAAUUGAUAAUAUUGAAUUGCUGAUUUUUAUUUCUUUGAAAUUGAUAUUAUGAAUUGGCAAUGGGCUAGUAAAAUUAAUGAUUUCAUAUUUUAUCUAUGAAAUUAGGGGAGUUAAGAUUUAAGAACUUAGGGUUUUUGAUUUUUGUUUUGGAAUUGAUUAGUUUGGAUAAUUGCUUUUCUGAUUUUUUGAAAUUGAUAUUAGUAGUGGUCAAUUGGAUAUAGUGAUUAGUGAUUUUGAAUAAUUGCCUUGAAUCUGUAUAUGUUCAGUGCUAAGCUCACUAUUAGUGUUUUAGCUAUACUUUAUUAGCAGUCGGUGGUGACCCCAGCACCCGAAAAUUCCCGGAUCUGCCACCCUUUCCCUGAUAUUGAUGGUAAUUGUUUCUGAUGAUGAAUUAUUGAAAGUUUUAGGAGCUAAAUUAAGUAAUUUACUUGAAGUAUAUGAUGCUUUGUUUUGACUUUUGAGCUGUAUAUGGUUCAUAGUCACUUCAAUUGAAUAAAAAAGUACACUUGCUUUGAAUGAAUCUUUGGUGUGAGUUGCUUGGUGUGAGUACAUUAUUAGAUGAACAAAUAAUGUAGCUGUUUUAUUUUCAAUCUUGCUUUUCUUCCCGCGUUGGAGUCUAACUAUAUAGUUAUUUGUGAAUUCAAAUACUUAAUCUAGUUGAAUUUUUUUGUUCAUUUUCUUGUAUUCUUUUGACCCCAACAUAUUGAUGAUUAUGCAGUUAAUUUAUUCAUUUCUUGAUAUGGAUUUGGAUCUCAAGCAGUAUGCUGACAAGUAUAACAAUGUUUCGAUAGAGGAGAUUCAGAAAAUUAGAGCUGAGAAUUAUAGUAAUGUGUGGUUUGAUGCAACAAUCAGAUCUCUUCAUGAGAGGAGGGAGUGGGAAAAGUUUUUUGGCAGACGUGCUCUCCGCACACAGCCCCUUGCUCAUAUAUUGUCAGUAGCUUUCAAAUCAAAAGAUAGAAGUAGGGAUAAGCCGCAUGCUAUGUAUGGUUACAUCUAUGUUGAGUAUUUUGAUUCGAAAAAUAAUGUGGUGUCUGAGUUGUAUAAAAGAGAGAGGAGUGAAGCUGAGAUUUUAGGAAGUGACGGGUUGUUGACAUUAAAUGGUCCUGAUUACUCAUUUUGGCCAAAUUAUGCAUGUAUGCCAUUGAUAAAAAAUAAAAUAACUCUGAAGUUAUUUGAUGAGACCGGCAACAUAAUUGCAAGAUCUUUCUUUUUGGAUGAAACAAAUAUUGAAGAUGAUUAUGAACAAGUUAAGUUUAUGUCCAUUGAUUGCGAGUAAGGGUCUAUUAUUUUUAAGUACAUUUGUAUUCCAUUUGGAGUUCAUUGUAGAAUAGAAAUUAAAGUUUGUAGUAGACAAGGUAAACAACAUGAUGGUUUGAAUGUGAAUGGAAGGAUUAUUGCUCGUUAUGCCAAUACAUAUGGGAAUUAUUCUUCUGAAGAUUGUGUUUUGUUUGAUAAGCAUGACUCCCCUGUUGAGAUCAACACUGCCAAACGGUUUCCACUUUCUAGAUGUUGGGUGUCAUUACCAGCUUAUUCUUCUCUUGUUGUGGACCUUAAUUUGUAUGAAUUUAAAACAAUGCGAAAUAUUGUUGAUCAAUCAGUGGAGUUGUCGGCUGAAGAUGGGAGAAUGACAUCAAGUUCCAUCUUGCUGGAUGAUUUAGCUAUUCAUGUUCAUGUCGCAUGGUUCUCGCCUGAUGUGGUUGGACAACGGAUUGACUCUAAGAUUGGAUUCCCAUCUAGCUUUGAACUCUCGUGGAAUCUUCGUGCUCAUUAGAGUAAGCCAUGGGCAUCUCCUGCCUUGGAGAUUUUCUCUGUCUUUUUUGGUGGAAGAAGGCAAAAGACUGUGCAAAUUUUUGGUUCAAUUGAGGUUUUAUCGGAUGAUGAUGACGGGAUUUGUUAUAUCUUUAACAGAGAUAAAAAAGAUGCCUUGAUAUUAUCUGAAAAUGAGAAAUCAUUACCUGUAUCAGAUGGUUCCAGAGUUUUUGAUGAUUGUAGUUCAUUACAAAUGAAGUUUAGCAUAAAGGAUACUGAAGACCGUUUAGCUAUUCGAGGCUUAGUGGAUUGGGCAGGUUCUGUACUUGACACUUCUUUGUGGUAUGAAAAGCAAUUGUGUUCUCUUAUUCCGGGUCAACAGGGAGGAUUUGCAGCAAUACACUAUUCAAUCUUCCAGAAGCUGUUGGUGCAAACAUUAAGGUGUUUCUAAAUCCUAAAACAGGAUGUGGUGAUGUUUGUCCUAAGAUUUGGGGUAGCCUUAUUGCUCAAUAUAGUUGCUAUGACUAUACAUCGCGCUUUAACAAAGACUACUACCGGAUUGUGUUAUUCGAGAAGAUUCAGGAUGAUCUAAUUCAAGUAAGUGAUGAUUCGAGAAUACCACUUUCAAGAUCUAUGAUUGUUGUUCCAUCAUAUGCCUCUCUUAUUGUCAACGUAGAUAUAUUAUUUGGCAAAUCUGAUGAAAACUUUUCAUGUGCUACAAAAAUUGAAAUUGGUGAAGGUUUCAAGAUUGUAGAGACAAAUAGUUAUCUUCUUCGUAUUGAGGUCGAUUGGUGUGAGAUUAAAUGAUAUUUAUUGUAUUAUUUAGGAACUCUUUUGGUCAUUAAUCUUAGAGUAGAGAUUUGGCUAGUGAUGUUAUGUUAAUGUAUUACUUAGGAACUUUUUGGUCUUUUGCCUUACUCUUCGUAGAGUAAAGGUUUCCCAAGUGAUAUUAUAUUAUUGUUCAGUAUUAUCUAGGAACUCUUGUGGCGUUUGCCUUACUCUUA